RNAcentral lists this ribosomal RNA (498 nucleotides) under uncultured bacterium. RNAcentral describes it as "partial 16S ribosomal RNA". It matches the Rfam family "Bacterial small subunit ribosomal RNA", at positions 28 to 507 of the family's 1533-position model. The record is from RNAcentral.
GACGAACGCUGGCGGCGUGCCUAAUACAUGCAAGUCGAGCGGACGGAUGGGAGCUUGCUCCCAGACCGUCAGCGGCGGUCGGGUGAGUAACACGUGGGCAACCUGCCUGUAAGACUGGGAUAACUCCGGGAAACCGGGGCCAAUACCGGAUAACUCUUUCCCUCACAUGAGGGAAAGCUGAAAGAUGGCAUCUCGCUAUCACUUACAGAUGGGCCCGCGGCGCAUUAGCUAGUUGGUGAGGUAACGGCUUACCAAGGCGACGAUGCGUAGCCGACCUGAGAGGAUGAUCAGCCACACUGGGACUGAGACACGGCCCAGACUCCUACGGGAGGCAGCAGUGGGGAAUCUUGCGCAAUGGGCGAAAGUCUGACGGAGCAACGCCGCGUGAGUGAUGAAGGUUUUCGGGUCGUAAAACUCUGUUGUCAGGGAAGAAAAGGUACCGGAGUAACUGCCGGUAACUUGACGGUACCGGACGAGAAAGCCACGGCUAACUACGUG